GGAAUAUUGCACAAUGGGGGAAACCCUGAUGCAGCGACGCCGCGUGAGCGAAGAAGUAUCUCGGUAUGUAAAGCUCUAUCAGCAGGGAAGAAAAAUGACGGUACCUGACUAAGAAGCCCCGGCUAACUACGUGCCAGCAGCCGCGGUAAUACGUAGGGGGCAAGCGUUAUCCGGAUUUACUGGGUGUAAAGGGAGCGCAGGCGGCGCGGCAAGUCUGAUGUGAAAGCCCGGGGCUCAACCCCGGGACUGCAUUGGAAACUGUCGCGCUCGAGUGUCGGAGAGGUAAGUGGAAUUCCUAGUGUAGCGGUGAAAUGCGUAGAUAUUAGGAGGAACACCAGUGGCGAAGGCGGCUUUCUGGACGAUGACUGACGUUGAGGCUCGAAAGCGUGGGGAGCAAACA
This 400-nucleotide ribosomal RNA is filed under the name uncultured bacterium. RNAcentral's name for it is "bacterial SSU rRNA". It matches the Rfam family "Bacterial small subunit ribosomal RNA", at positions 358 to 774 of the family's 1533-position model. The record is from RNAcentral.